AACCAGCACCUCAAGUGGUCAGGAUGAUUAUUGGGCCUAAAGCAUCCGUAGCCGGCUCUGUAAGUUUUCGGUUAAAUCUGUACGCUCAACGUACAGGCUGCCGGGAAUACUGCAGAGCUAGGGAGUGGGAGAAGUAGACGGUACUUGGUAGGAAGUGGUAAAAUGCUUUGAUCUAUCGAUGACCACCUGUGGCGAAGGCGGUCUACUAGAACACGUCCGACGGUGAGGGAUGAAAGCUGGGGGAGCAAACCGG
RNAcentral lists this ribosomal RNA (253 nucleotides) under uncultured archaeon. RNAcentral's name for it is "partial 16S ribosomal RNA". It matches the Rfam family "Archaeal small subunit ribosomal RNA", at positions 474 to 727 of the family's 1478-position model. The record is from RNAcentral.